AUACGUAGGGGGCGAGCGUUGUCCGGAAUGAUUGGGCGUAAAGGGCGCGUAGGCGGCCUGUUAAGUCUGGAGUGAAAGUCCUGCUUUCAAGGUGGGAAUUGCUUUGGAUACUGCCGCGCUUGAGUGCAGGAGAGGUUAUCGGAAUUCCCGGUGUAGCGGUGAAAUGCGUAGAGAUCGGGAGGAACACCAGUGGCGAAGGCGGGUAACUGGACUGCAACUGACGCUGAGGCGCGAAAGUGUGGGGAGCAAACAGGAUUAGAUACCCUGGUAGUCCACACUGUAAACGAUGAAUGCUAGGUGUAAGAGGUAUCGACCCCUUUUGUGCCGGAGUCAACACAAUAAGCAUUCCGCCUGGGGAGUACGGCCGCAAGGUUGAAACUCAAAUGAAUUGGCGGGG
RNAcentral lists this ribosomal RNA (397 nucleotides) under uncultured bacterium. RNAcentral's name for it is "partial 16S ribosomal RNA". It matches the Rfam family "Bacterial small subunit ribosomal RNA", at positions 523 to 918 of the family's 1533-position model. The record is from RNAcentral.